AUUGAACGCUGGCGGCAUGCUUUACACAUGCAAGUCGAACGGUAACAGGCCGCGAGGUGCUGACGAGUGGCGAACGGGUGAGUAAUGCAUCGGAACGUGCCCAGUCGUGGGGGAUAACUAUCCGAAAGGAUAGCUAAUACCGCAUACGAUCUGCGGAUGAAAGCGGGGGACCUUCGGGCCUCGCGCGAUUGGAGCGGCCGAUGUCAGAUUAGGUAGUUGGUGGGGUAAAGGCUCACCAAGCCAACGAUCUGUAGCUGGUCCGAGAGGACGACCAGCCACACUGGGACUGAGACACGGCCCAGACUCCUACGGGAGGCAGCAGUGGGGAAUUUUGGACAAUGGGCGCAAGCCUGAUCCAGCAAUGCCGCGUGCAGGAAGAAGGCCUUCGGGUUGUAAACUGCUUUUGUACGGAACGAAACGGCUCUGGAUAAUACCUGGGGCUAAUGACGGUACCGUAAGAAUAAGCACCGGCUAACUACGUGCCAGCCGCCGCCGUAA
This 498-nucleotide ribosomal RNA is filed under the name uncultured bacterium. RNAcentral describes it as "partial 16S ribosomal RNA". It matches the Rfam family "Bacterial small subunit ribosomal RNA", at positions 30 to 523 of the family's 1533-position model. The record is from RNAcentral.